RNAcentral lists this long non-coding RNA (945 nucleotides) under Marmota monax (woodchuck). The record is from RNAcentral. Lineage: Eukaryota; Metazoa; Chordata; Mammalia; Rodentia; Sciuridae.
CGAGUGUACCUUUUACCCCACAUCCUUGCCAACACUUAUUGUUGUUUGUCCUCAUAAUAGCUGUCAUUCUAACUGAGGUGAGAUGAAAUCUUAGAGUGGUUUUGAUUUGCAUUUCUUUAACUGUUAGAGGUGACGAACAUUUUUUCAUAUAUUUGUUGAUUGAUUGUACAUCACCUUCUGAGAAGUGUCUCUUCAGGUCCUUGGCCCAUUUAGAAAAUCGUUUUGAACAUCACAUUUAACUGCAUUAAAUUGGCAACCCAAUGGGGUCAACCAGAAUGUAUCUUGUUCACCUCUAUAGUCUCUCUGUUUUCCCCUGGAACUUCACCACUAGCAGUUCCAGGUGACAUUUAGCUAGCUGCUACAUGUCUUUGCACCUGUUCUUCACCGAAUGCCCUUCUUCUGCCUCUCUCUAUCUCCCUCUGGUAUCCCUGUGAAGUCUUGCUCAGGGGGAGCAGGCCCUCCUUUCUAUGAGCUGUUUCUGUCUCCGGUCCAUAAUGGAACACCUGCAGAACUGGCUCUCACCAGCCACUGGCUGAGAGGUUCUGCCGUUACUUGUUCUUCCCACAUAUCCUUGGCAUGACACUAUUUCAGACAGCAGAAAGGGGAACUUUCUUUUUCUCAUCCACUCCUCAGAGAAUCAAGAACUGUGUGCACACCAAGCGCUGUGAUAACAUUAGGGAUAAAACAGUGAUGUUUUCAGAGUAUACCUGUUAGAAUUUUCUCCGCCCCAUUUGUUGAUACAGUGGGAGGAAGGAAAGAUAGAUUUGGAUGGUUUUUACCACCUAGAGUCUGAGUGCAUAUCUUGGCUUCAUCAUUUGGUAGUCCUGUAACUUUGGACAAGUUUCCAAGUUUUUCCAUACCUCAGUUUUCCAUUUGUAAAGUAGGCUCCUUUAGAAUUGUGACAGGGGUCAAGUGGGUGUUAUGUGUAAAGCUCUUAGACUGUCU